AACCCUAGCUGCGGGUCGGCAUGGUCGCCGUCGGCUGCUACCGACUGCGGCGCCUCCGGCUGCUCCCCUCCGUCGACACGGACACUUUAACGUUGACUACGCCUCUUCAUCGUUUUACCUCGACCAUCUCCAGAGCCCCAGCUUGACCUGGCCAUGCUCGGCCCUUCGCUGGUCUCUCCGAUGGUGUGGAAUGUGGUCAUGGUACCGCUGGCGAGAUUGCUACGGUGACAUUUUAAUGGCGUUGCUGUGGUUGUGAUGGUGUUAUGUGGUGGUGUUGGUGCUGCUGGUGAGGUUGAACUCCUCGCCAACGCCAGCGGAACAGUGCUGCAAUGCAACCCUGGCGUCAUCUCCUGUCGGCUGUUGCUGAUGUUGAUGCUACCAUUCUGCUACAUUAACCUCAACGCCGGUGCCUCGUCGUGGCACCCUGCAGGCAAGGAAAGAUAAUGAGAAGAUUGGGAUCAAGAUUAGAAUAGGAUCUUUUUAUUUCUUUGAAACUUCUUUUAUUUCUAAUAUUGUAUUAUUUGUAAUUGAAUUUCUUUUAUGGGACUUGUAAAUGAUGAUUUAGUAAUUAUAGAUGUAAUAAUUAUUUGAAUUUCUUAUUUAUUGUGAGUUUGUAUUAUCUAUAAACUCAAACAAUGUAUUCUUUUAUGAUUGUUUGGAAUCCAAGUUCAAAUUAUUAUUUGAA
This is a non-coding RNA of Lolium perenne, 685 nucleotides long. The record is from RefSeq and is a predicted model, not a curated record. Lineage: Eukaryota; Viridiplantae; Streptophyta; Magnoliopsida; Poales; Poaceae.